This 510-nucleotide long non-coding RNA is filed under the name Homo sapiens (human). RNAcentral describes it as "novel transcript, antisense to FBXO18". Lineage: Eukaryota; Metazoa; Chordata; Mammalia; Primates; Hominidae. The record is from RNAcentral.
CACAGUUGGUGAAACUUGGGCCGUCUGCCUCAAGUCCCCGCUUGGCAAAACCACUCCCUCCUGGUGGACGCCCUCACCAUGAAGAGUUAUAGUAAGGUGUUGGUGAGGCUGGCUGCUCUGGUUGCUAAGAGAGACCCGGCCUGCCACACUCCUAAGAGACACAGAAGACCAGCCUACCCUUCCCUUGCCUCCCGUGACACUGCCCUGCAGGUGGCUGGCCAAGAGAAGCCUGCCCGGCGACGCUGAGGCACCGAACAUGAGCAGGGGAGGAAGGAAUGCCUGGGAGCAGCUGAGCCGAGCCCCUGCCACCAGCCUCCUCCGCACGCCCGUGGAAUCAGCACUUUCUGCUUCCCGCCCCUGAGAGCCUUGCUCUGGGGCCACUCACAGCCAAUUAAGUGGGGAUGUUGUAAGAGACUCUAAAAUACGUGGAGCUGGCUGAGGACGCGGGACCGACCCCAUUAUGUGUGUGUGAGGCUGAUUAAAGUGUUACCUGUCACCAGGUGUCGCCAA